This 23-nucleotide small nuclear RNA is filed under the name Arabidopsis thaliana (thale cress). RNAcentral's name for it is "snRNA_18435". The record is from RNAcentral. Lineage: Eukaryota; Viridiplantae; Streptophyta; Magnoliopsida; Brassicales; Brassicaceae.
UUUUAGAGAUCAAAACUUCUUUU